This 58-nucleotide transfer RNA is filed under the name Dipodomys ordii (Ord's kangaroo rat). It matches the Rfam family "tRNA", at positions 8 to 63 of the family's 71-position model. Rfam says of the family: Transfer RNA (tRNA) molecules are approximately 80 nucleotides in length. Their secondary structure includes four short double-helical elements and three loops (D, anti-codon, and T loops). Lineage: Eukaryota; Metazoa; Chordata; Mammalia; Rodentia; Heteromyidae. The record is from Rfam by way of RNAcentral.
UGGCUCAGUGGUAGAGCGCUCGCCUCGCAUGCGUGAGGCCCUGGGUUCGAUUCCUCAG